AUUCUUCUUCUCCUUCCUCUCC
RNAcentral lists this small RNA (22 nucleotides) under Arabidopsis thaliana (thale cress). Its description in RNAcentral is "ATSL053910". The record is from RNAcentral. Lineage: Eukaryota; Viridiplantae; Streptophyta; Magnoliopsida; Brassicales; Brassicaceae.